RNAcentral lists this ribosomal RNA (1309 nucleotides) under metagenome. RNAcentral's name for it is "SSU rRNA". It matches the Rfam family "Eukaryotic small subunit ribosomal RNA", at positions 61 to 1368 of the family's 1831-position model. The record is from RNAcentral.
AAGUACAUACCUUAGCUCGGUGAAACCGCGAAUGGCUCAUUAAAUCAGUUAUGGUUCCUUAGAUCGUUCAUACUACAUGGAUAACGGUGGUAAUUCUAGAGCUAAUACAUGCAAAAAGCUCCGACCGUAUGGGAAGAGCGCUUUUAUUAGACCAAAACCAAUGGGGUCGCAAGACUCCUUUGUAUGGUGACUCUGGAUAACUUUGUGCUGAUCGCAUGGCCUAGAGCCGGCGACGUAUCUUUCAAGUGUCUGCCCUAUCAACUUUCGAUGGUAAGCGAUUUGCCUACCAUGGUUGUAACGGGUAACGGGGAAUCAGGGUUCGAUUCCGGAGAGGGAGCAUGAGAAAUGGCUACCACAUCUACGGAAGGCAGCAGGCGCGCAAAUUACCCACUCCUAGAACGGGGAGGUAGUGACGAAAAAUAACAAUACCGGACUCAAUGAGGCUCGGUAAUUGAAAUGAGUACAGUUUAAAACCCUUAACGAGGAUCUAUUGGAGGGCAAGUCUGGUGCCAGCAGCCGCGGUAAUUCCAGCUCCAAUAGCGUAUAUUAAAGUUGUUGCAGUUAAAAAGCUCGUAGUUGGAUCUCGGGUACUAGCAUGUGGUACGCUUAAUUGCUGUUACUACAUGUCUGGUCCUAAUCAACCGGUUGGCCGUUGAUGUCCUUUAUUGGGUGUUUUCGGUAGCCGGUACGUUUACUUUGAGAAAAUUAGAGUGCUUAAAGCAGGCCUUACGCCUGAAUAAUGUUGCAUGGAAUAAUAGAAUAGGACCUCGGUUCUAUUUUGUUGGUUUUGUAGAGCAUUGAGGUAAUGAUUAAUAGGGACAGACGGGGGCAUUCGUAUUGCGGUGUUAGAGGUGAAAUUCUUGGAUCGCCGCAAGACGAACAACUGCGAAAGCAUUUGCCAAGGAUGUUUUCAUUAAUCAAGAACGAAAGUUGGAGGUUCGAAGACGAUUAGAUACCGUCCUAGUUCCAACCAUAAACGAUGCCAACUAGCGAUUAGCUGCUGUUAAUUUAACGACACAGCUAGCAGCUUCCGGGAAACCAAAGUUUUUGGGUUCCGGGGGAAGUAUGGUUGCAAAGCUGAAACUUAAAGGAAUUGACGGAAGGGCACCACCAGGAGUGGAGCCUGCGGCUUAGUUUGACCCAACACGGGAAAUCUCACCCGGCCCGGACACUGUAAGGAUUGACAGAUUGAGAGCUCUUUCUUGAUUCGGUGGGUGGUGGUGCAUGGCCGUUCUUAGUUGGUGGAGCGAUUUGUCUGGUUAAUUCCGAUAACGAACGAGACUCUAGCCUGCUAAAUAGUACGCCGAUC